UGGGGGAAUAUUGCACAAUGGGCGCAAGCCUGAUGCAGCCAUGCCGCGUGUGUGAAGAAGGCCUCGGGUUGUAAAGCACUUUCAGCGAGGAGGAAGGUGGGUGAGCUUAAUACGCUCAUCAAUUGACGUUACUCGCAGAAGAAGCACCGGCUAACUCCGUGCCAGCAGCCGCGGUAAUACGGAGGGUGCAAGCGUUAAUCGGAAUUACUGGGCGUAAAGCGCACGCAGGCGGUUUGUUAAGUCAGAUGUGAAAUCCCCCGGGCUCAACCUGGGAACUGCAUUUGAAACUGGCAAGCUAGAGUCUCGUAGAGGGGGGUAGAAUUCCAGGUGUAGCGGUGAAAUGCGUAGAGAUCUGGAGGAAUACCGGUGGCGAAGGCGGCCCCCUGGACGAAGACUGACGCUCAGGUGCGAAAAGGCGUGGGG
This 423-nucleotide ribosomal RNA is filed under the name uncultured bacterium. Its description in RNAcentral is "partial 16S ribosomal RNA". It matches the Rfam family "Bacterial small subunit ribosomal RNA", at positions 354 to 766 of the family's 1533-position model. The record is from RNAcentral.